UAAACAUACACAAAUUUAUUUGUUAAUAUAAUAGAUGGAUAACUUAGAGAUUUUUACAUUUUUAUAACAUGCAGAGAAUAAUAUGUGUUAAUAAAUCAGAAAGAGGAACUGAGGGAAGUCGUAGGGGGGUGGGAGGGGGGAGGAGGGGGAAAUGGGAGGGGGGAAUUGGGGGGAAAUACAAUUGUUGGAGUAAUUUGUUAUGUGAAAAUAGUCAAUAAUUUUUUAUUUU
Molecule: non-coding RNA, 229 nt
Organism: Podarcis lilfordi (Lilford's wall lizard)
Lineage: Eukaryota; Metazoa; Chordata; Lepidosauria; Squamata; Lacertidae
Source: the annotation of a GenBank genome assembly